ACGGCCGCCUUGGCGCGGUCGAUCACGUCGAAGAACCGGAGGCUGGGGUUGUUGGGCGGCGCGUCCUUCUCCGCCGUGUUGUUCGGGUUCGUCGUCGAGUCGAUCAGCACCGAGCCGUCGCAGCCCUGCAAAGGAGGUUUAAGCGUCGGUGCCGUCACUCUCAGUCAUGGAAGUGCAAGCGGAUCAGCGCCGGAGCGACGCCGGAGUUGUUUCUGAACGCGUCGGCGACGGUCUGCUGCACGAUGGUCUCGGCGGCGGGGCACAUCCUGUCGUAGAAGCCGAAGUCGAGGCAGGCGGCGGCCGAGAGGAGCCCCGCCAGGAGCGUUGCGAAGCGUAGGAUGUUAGGAUGCUUUGCCGGCCUGUAGGAAACGGAGGGGCAGUUCGGUCACGGUGGAAGACACAACGAUACUUAGUGUGGUGUAAAAACUUCUGCAAGUCGUUGGAUCAAGAAACAGUACUCUGAACAUUCGUCAAAAAUAGUCUGCAGGGCCCCGGCAUCGCCAUAGCUCUCCGGUAACCUGAUUGGUUUCUUCAUCCUCUUACUACUUCAACUACUUCUCCAGUGAAGUUCUACAACUCUAUCAGCUUCUUUCAGGCAAAGCUCCCUCCAUUUCUGCAAGUACCUAACACAGUAUGGCAUUGAACAGUUAUUUUAUUUUUAUUAUUCAAUUAUAAACAAGCAUGCAAAGAUGCCUGUGGUGAUGAUUUUUCUCAUGCCCUUAUUGAAUUCUCAGUUAGAUGGUAUGGAGUACCUGGUACUCCCUCUGUUCCUCGUUUUGACUUUUCUAGAUUCAUAGAUAUUAUUAUGCAUCUAGAUAUACACUAUAUUUAGAUGUACAAUAAUAUUUAUGCACCUAAAAAAGUCAAAACAACCUACAAUUUGAAACGAAGGGAGUAGUAGUUUAACUCAUUUGAAACUAGAUUGUAUAUUUAGGAACCUUUGAAACCUGUUUUUUUAGUGCAGUUCAAAUACUUUGUUGGUAGUUGGCACACCCGUAGACCUGGUGACUUCACCUAACAUGUGAUUUGUUUUGGUUAUUUUCUUGCAUUGCGCUUCUAAUGAGUCCUAUAUCACCAACAAAUCAAACCGGAGAAAAUAUUAGCAAGUAGAGCACAAGAGAACAGAACGUUCCAAUACAAUACCAUCAUCUUGCAUUAUAAUUUAGAGCAACCAUCUUAUAAAAGAUUGGUGCACACACGAGCAGUCAAACCAUUAUCAGUAUGUCAUGACAACAUUAUCCUACAUUGUUGAGUCCCCAAAACAAAUCCAGUCUAGUGUGACAUUAGGAUUAAUAAUGUAGGCUGUAUAUCAUCAUAUUGACAAAUUCAGCUUUUCUUAUUUUCUGUACGAUGAUAUUUUGUAACAAAUUAUGCACGGAUUCAGUAUACAUGCACCCGCAUAUUGAUAUAAAGCUUAUUACAAUACUUUAUUUGGCCCAUGGGCGUGUAUAAAUCAUCAAUAUUUUUGUUAAUGUACAGGUGCAAUUAAAUGGAAAAUAAGUAUGUGUGCUUAUAUUACACCAAGGCUAAUAAAAUAUAAUUGUGUAGUGCAUUUUGACAAUAUAUACCGGUGGCGUAAUUCUUUAUUGCCCCACCAGUCAGCAAUUUUUAUGUUGUAAACAAACAAUUGGAACAGUAAAGUCCGUCAUGGGCUGGCGAGAGCUGAAAACACAUGAACAUGGCCUUGAGCUCUAAUCAGGCCCACAAAUUAGUGGUUUAACAUGCAUGGAUGCGCGGGUGUGGUGGGCCUUGAGCUCUAAUCAGGCCCACAAAUUAGCGAUUAACUAGCAUUCUCGGAUUUUCUAUGACGUUAGUUAUAUGCAAUCUUUCUGGGUCACUUGCUAGCUGUUGUGGAUAAAGAUAGUGUUUGGUUCGUGUUAAGGUAGGGAAUCGGAUUACAGUGUAUUUGGCGGUGGAAUGGGUGGUUACUCUCUUUGGUUGCACUCUGGUAGCAUAAUCAGAUUACGGUGUGGGUGUUGUAUCUGAUUAUGGUGGGGGAGGAGGGAUAACAAGCUUGUAUAGAUAUUAUUUAGGUAAAUGAUUCGAUUACAGUAUCACUUGAUUACGAACCACCGCAACCAAACAUAUGUAAUGGGAUUCAUUAACUUCAGUAAUCAGAUUACGUUACAUUUGAGCCAACCAAACACCACCGUGCAUGUCAUACCAAGGGAAACCGACACUGCUGCAUCUACCACGUACACUACAUCCAUUUAGCCAUUCUUCCAGUUUAGAGGAGCCAACGUCGCACUGCCGGAGAUCGCCAUGGUCGUGCCGAAACGGUGAGAGUCCACGUCGCUGGCUUUGUUUUCCUCACGUCUUUUGUUGUGCCGAAAUGGUGAGAGCCGGUAAGUGUGGAGGGGUCAAUACACAUUGACGCUGAACUGACGAAGCAACAGCCUGAAUUCCAUGCAUGCCAAGAAAGAGGUGGUGUCACUGAUGUGCACCAGAGAAGAAUAACUUCAGAUGCAGUUGGUACAUGCAGAGCACAGUCCCAGAGUUAGUUGGUGAAUUUUUUGUGCCAAAAGACAUGUAACGUGAAGGACGUGUCAGUCGACGUGCUGUCCAGGAUGUGUUAGUCGAUCUGUAUCAAAAUUUGAGAAUCAUAUAUAUAGGCACUGGAAUCACGGCAAGUUUGCCUGUCGGUGCACACUCUCAGUGAAGGCAGACUUCUCUGCAUGGCAGUUAUUAGUAGUAAAAAUUAAUGAAAUUUUUGUGUUUUCAGGAAGUUAGUUUUUCAUGUAAUAUCAGCAGUGAUUAAAAUAGCCGGCGCUAUUAUAGUACCGCAAUAGCGUUCUAGACAAGCAAUCACUAAGCUAUGCGCCAAUGUCUAUAAAUUCUGCUUACAGACUAUAGCUCCUUUAUCGAUCCGCUGUAUAUAGCGGCUUAGGACUUAGCGGCAAUAGCGUCCGCUUUGAUAUUAUAGUUCUUCAACCUUGAUUCAGAUAUAUAUGGUUAGAUCAUGAUUAGCACAUUGAUGUUCAUCGUCACUAUUAGUAAAGAUUGAUUCUUAACAGUCAAUAUAUAUGUAGGCCAAAAUAGCACUCCUUGUUCUUUAUAUGCUCUUUGUGCAGCAUGUUUAUUACAAACCAAAUCUAUUACUCCAACAAAAUAAGAAGUAAACCGACCAAAUUGAUAAACAAGACCUACAUAAACAUACCAAAACAAACUAAGCAAAAGAAUAAACAAACUCUAGCUACAAUUAUUAAAGGCAUCCACAACAGUUGUAUCCAUAAAACUUCCAAAUCCAAAUGGCAGGCCACACUUGGUAUGCUAGGGGUUUUAGAGCAAUGAGUCUGAUCAUGGGUCGAGUUGAUGACAGGUCUGAUGCUGCAGCUUUUCACAUGGCAGUCGGCUUCACAACCUAGCAUCAUGAACCUGGGUCCCACAUCAUAGCACAACCUGAAACAUCCCAUUACCUUUGCAAGAACUGUCCAUACACCAAGGAUGUGUGGAACAUGAUCACUUCUUGAACUGGUUUACAUUCAUUGCAGAAUUUGAAACAGUCGAUUUCUCUUUAUGCAUGGUGGCUAAAAUGCAAGGUGCGAGUGGAUAAAAAAGACAGACAAACUUUCAACAGCCUAAUGAUAUACUUUUGGUGGAAUGUUUGGAAAGAAAAAAACCGGCGCAUUUUUCAACAUAAAUUCUUGCCACCACUACAAUUGGCGCUGCUCAUCAAGUAAGACAUGAACCAGUAUAGACUUGCAUUCAAUGGUCGAAACGAAGCUACAGAUGAUCAGUCAUAGUUGCGUGUGGUCCUUCCAUCCUGUGUCGUUUUUUCUUUUGCGCUUGGAGAUGCCUUCCUUUUCUUUGGUUGUACUGUUGUAUUAGUCGUCCUUCUCCCCUCGUGUUAUUGAUCGUAGUUGUAUGUGUAGCAUUCUUUAGGUCUCCAUAUAUAGCUG
Molecule: long non-coding RNA, 3899 nt
Organism: Setaria italica (foxtail millet)
Lineage: Eukaryota; Viridiplantae; Streptophyta; Magnoliopsida; Poales; Poaceae
Exons: 4
Source: RefSeq, a predicted model, not a curated record